RNAcentral lists this ribosomal RNA (485 nucleotides) under uncultured eukaryote. RNAcentral's name for it is "SSU rRNA". It matches the Rfam family "Eukaryotic small subunit ribosomal RNA", at positions 52 to 542 of the family's 1831-position model. The record is from RNAcentral.
UGCAUGUCUAAGUAUAAAUAGUAUACAAGUGAAACUGCGAAUGGCUCAUUAAAACAGUUAUAGUUUAUUUGAUAAUUGAAUUCUACAUGGAUAACCGUAGUAAUUCUAGAGCUAAUACAUGCGAUUAAACCUGACUCUUGGAAAGGUUGUAUUUAUUAGAUAUCAAACCAGUAGUCUUUCGGGAUUAUUGUGAUGAUUCAUAAUAACUGAUCGGAUCAAGGAGUUCCUUGAUAGAUCAUUCAAGUUUCUGCCCUAUCAGCUUUCGAUGGUAGUGUAUUGGACUACCAUGGCAGUCACGGGUAACGGAGAAUUAGGGUUCGAUUCCGGAGAGGGAGCCUGAGAAACGGCUACCACAUCUACGGAAGGCAGCAGGCGCGUAAAUUACCCAAUCCUGAUUCAGGGAGGUAGUGACAAGAAAUAACAACUCGGGGCAUUUUUAAUGCUUCGGAAUUUGCAAUGGGAACAAUCUAAAUCACUUAUCGAGG